AAAUGACUCUCGGCAACGGAUAUCCCGGCUCUCGCAUCGAUGAAGAACGUAGCGAAAUGCGAUACUUGGUGUGAAUUGCAGAAUCCCGUGAACCAUCGAGUCUUUGAACGCAAGUUGCGCCCGAGGCCUCGGCUUAGGGCACGUCUGCCUGGGUGUCACGU
Molecule: ribosomal RNA, 161 nt
Filed under: Ptilimnium costatum
Lineage: Eukaryota; Viridiplantae; Streptophyta; Magnoliopsida; Apiales; Apiaceae
Description: 5.8S ribosomal RNA
Rfam family: 5.8S ribosomal RNA
About the family: 5.8S ribosomal RNA (5.8S rRNA) is a component of the large subunit of the eukaryotic ribosome. It is transcribed by RNA polymerase I as part of the 45S precursor that also contains 18S and 28S rRNA.
Source: RNAcentral